This 253-nucleotide ribosomal RNA is filed under the name uncultured bacterium. RNAcentral's name for it is "partial 16S ribosomal RNA". It matches the Rfam family "Bacterial small subunit ribosomal RNA", at positions 524 to 776 of the family's 1533-position model. The record is from RNAcentral.
UACAGAGGGUGCGAGCGUUGUCCGGAAUCACUGGGCGUAAAGCGCGCGCAGGCGGUCUUCCAAGUCAGUGGUGAAAGCCCGGAGCUCAACUCCGGAACUGCCAUUGAAACUGUUAGACUUGAGGAUGAGAGAGGUGAGUGGAAUUCCCAGUGUAGAGGUGAAAUUCGUAGAUAUUGGGAAGAACACCGGUGGCGAAGGCGGCUCACUGGCUCAUUACUGACGCUCAGGCGCGAUAGCGUGGGGAUCAAACAGG